GGUGGCUCAGUGGUAGAGUGCUUGCCUUUCAUGCCUGAGGCCCUGGGUUUGAUUCCCCAGCACCA
RNAcentral lists this transfer RNA (65 nucleotides) under Dipodomys ordii (Ord's kangaroo rat). It matches the Rfam family "tRNA". From Rfam's summary of the family: Transfer RNA (tRNA) molecules are approximately 80 nucleotides in length. Their secondary structure includes four short double-helical elements and three loops (D, anti-codon, and T loops). Further hydrogen bonds mediate the characteristic L-shaped molecular structure. tRNAs have two regions of fundamental functional importance: the anti-codon, which is responsible for specific mRNA codon recognition, and the 3' end, to which the tRNAs corresponding amino acid is attached (by aminoacyl-tRNA synthetases). tRNAs cope with the degeneracy of the genetic code in two manners: having more than one tRNA (with a specific anti-codon) for a particular amino acid; and 'wobble' base-pairing, i.e. permitting non-standard base-pairing at the 3rd anti-codon position. Lineage: Eukaryota; Metazoa; Chordata; Mammalia; Rodentia; Heteromyidae. The record is from Rfam by way of RNAcentral.